Molecule: non-coding RNA, 112 nt
Filed under: Ornithorhynchus anatinus (platypus)
Lineage: Eukaryota; Metazoa; Chordata; Mammalia; Monotremata; Ornithorhynchidae
Source: RNAcentral
GUGUAGAUAUCUACACAGAAGAGAAGGUUAGUACUCCCCUUAAGAAGGGUGAAAGAGGUCCUAGUGGCCUUUAAAACACAUAUAUGGUUAAGGCACCGAACCAAGUUUUUUU